Long non-coding RNA from Melanotaenia boesemani (Boeseman's rainbowfish), 743 nucleotides. RefSeq lists it as uncharacterized. The transcript is spliced from 3 exons. The record is from RefSeq and is a predicted model, not a curated record. NCBI's taxonomy places the organism in Eukaryota, Metazoa, Chordata, Actinopteri, Atheriniformes, Melanotaeniidae.
GAGCAAUCGCGUAGUGAUUUGAGGUGUGUAGGUCAUGUGACUAAAAAGCUAUUGAAACUUGGUGUCCGAAUAUCUGUUGAAUAUCGAACGUCAAACUAACUUUACCACGGUCACGGACCGAACACUCCAGACCGGAACGCCUCUGCGGGGAUCGAAGCGGAAGACGGUUGCUAUGAGGGUUGGGUACAGUCCACCACAACGCUGAGCAGACUAUUCUAACUAUGAAAAACAAGGAACAAGACAGAGCUGUUCUUACCUGUGAUGCAGUUAACGUUAAACAGGGAAACGGGUCUUGUUGAGUUCAGUUUUUCUUUCGAGAGUUGUUUCCGCUGUAGCCCCGCCCCCUCCACCUGCAUGAAGCUGGCUCUCCACCCCACGCAAAACACAGUGGAAAUGGUCUCGAUCGUUUGCGCUGCAUUAGUGCUGGUUUGUGCUGAAAAAAAUUCGUUUGAGCUGCUUUGGUUUUUAAGAUAUGACAAGUUCCUUAUGGGCCAAUCAUUGCAUUAAACUGUUACGGAAUUAGUUGAACGCAGGUGCCCCCUCCACGUGUGGAUAGAAGCGCGCUCUCGCUGAAAACUCGUUCCUGACAUGCUGUGCUGUACUACAGAGAAUGACGUGUCUUUCCAGGACCUGUGAGAAAUGAUGGCGAGCAGCAGAGGAGACGGUUUCCAUUUAAAUGGAGGAAAGUGUUUGCCAGAGGAAAGAGGCUUUACCAAAACAAAUGAGGCAUGGAUUUUACGAGG